RNAcentral lists this ribosomal RNA (440 nucleotides) under uncultured bacterium. RNAcentral's name for it is "partial 16S ribosomal RNA". It matches the Rfam family "Bacterial small subunit ribosomal RNA", at positions 338 to 795 of the family's 1533-position model. The record is from RNAcentral.
CCUACGGGAGGCAGCAGUGGGGAAUAUUGCACAAUGGGGGAAACCCUGAUGCAGCGAUGCCGCGUGAGUGAAGAAGUCCUUCGUUAUGUAAAGCUCUAUCAGCAGGGAGGAACAUGACGGUACCUGAGUAAGAAGCACCGGCUAACUACGUCCCAGCAGCCGCGGUAAUACGUCGGGGGCAAGCGUUAUCCGGAUUUACUGGGUGGAAAGGGAGCGUAGACGGCAGUGCAAGUCUGGAGUGAAAGGCGGGGGCUCAACCCCCGGACUGCUCUGGAGACUGUACGGCUGGAGUGCAGUAGAGGUAAGUGGAAGUCCUAGUGUAGCGGUGAAAGGCGUAGAGAUUAGGAGGAACACCAGUGGCGAAGGCGGCUUACUGGACUGUAACUGACGUUGAGGCGCGAAAGCGUGGGGAGCAAACAGGAUUAGAUACCCCAGUAGUC